Molecule: ribosomal RNA, 465 nt
Filed under: Vreelandella stevensii
Lineage: Bacteria; Pseudomonadati; Pseudomonadota; Gammaproteobacteria; Oceanospirillales; Halomonadaceae
Description: partial 16S ribosomal RNA
Rfam family: Bacterial small subunit ribosomal RNA
Source: RNAcentral
CCUACGGGUGGCAGCAGUGGGGAAUAUUGGACAAUGGGGGGAACCCUGAUCCAGCCAUGCCGCGUGUGUGAAGAAGGCCCUCGGGUUGUAAAGCACUUUCAGUGAGGAAGAACGCCUGGUGGUUAAUACCCAUCAGGAAAGACAUCACUCACAGAAGAAGCACCGGCUAACUCCGUGCCAGCAGCCGCGGUAAUACGGAGGGUGCGAGCGUUAAUCGGAAUUACUGGGCGUAAAGCGCGCGUAGGUGGCUUGAUAAGCCGGUUGUGAAAGCCCCGGGCUCAACCUGGGAACGGCAUCCGGAACUGUCAAGCUAGAGUGCAGGAGAGGAAGGUAGAAUUCCCGGUGUAGCGGUGAAAUGCGUAGAGAUCGGGAGGAAUACCAGUGGCGAAGGCGGCCUUCUGGACUGACACUGACACUGAGGUGCGAAAUCGUGGGUAGCAAACAGGAUUAGAUACCCCAGUAGUC